This 799-nucleotide ribosomal RNA is filed under the name uncultured marine thaumarchaeote. RNAcentral describes it as "bacterial SSU rRNA". It matches the Rfam family "Archaeal small subunit ribosomal RNA", at positions 82 to 882 of the family's 1478-position model. The record is from RNAcentral. Lineage: Archaea; Thermoproteati; Nitrososphaerota.
ACGGCUGCUCAGUACCGCGUAGUCAACCUACCCUAUGGACAAGAAUAAUCUCGGGAAACUGAGCAUAAUUCUUGAUAGAUCAUAAUGCCUGGAAUGGUUUAUGGUUAAAAUGAUUCGUCGCCAUAGGAUGGGACUGCGGCCUAUCAGCUUGUUGGUGAGGUAAUGGCCCACCAAGGCGAUAACAGGUACGGGCUCUGAGAGGAGAGGCCCGGAGAUGGGUACUGAGACAAGGACCCAGGCCCUAUGGGGCGCAGCAGGCGAGAAAACUUUGCAAUGUGCGAAAGCACGACAAGGUUAGUCCGAGUGAUUUCUGCUAAAGAGAUCUUUUGCUAGUCAUAAAACCACUAGUGAAUAAGGGGUGGGCAAGUUCUGGUGUCAGCCGCCGCGGUAAAACCAGCACCUCAAGUGGUCAGGAUGAUUAUUGGGCCUAAAGCAUCCGUAGCCGACUCUGUAAGUUUUCGGUUAAAUCUAUGCGCUCAACGUAUGGGCUGCCGAAAAUACUGCAGAGAUAGGGAGUGGGAGAGGUAGACGGUACCCGGUAGGAAGGGGUAAAAUCCUUUGAUCUAUCGAUGACCACCUGUGGCGAAGGCGGUCUACCAGAACACGUUCGACGGUGAGGGAUGAAAGCUGGGGGAGCAAACCGGAUUAGAUACCCGGGUAGUCCCAGCUGUAAACGAUGCAGACUCGAUGAUGCAUUGGCAUAUAGCCAGUGCAGUGUCGCAGGGAAGCCGUUAAGUCUGCCGCCUGGGAAGUACGUACGCAAGUAUGAAACUUAAAGGAAUUGGCGGGGGAGCAGAAG